RNAcentral lists this ribosomal RNA (265 nucleotides) under uncultured bacterium. RNAcentral's name for it is "partial 16S ribosomal RNA". It matches the Rfam family "Bacterial small subunit ribosomal RNA", at positions 793 to 1055 of the family's 1533-position model. The record is from RNAcentral.
GUCCAUGCCGUAAACGAUGUAUACUUGAUGUAUCCGGGCUCAACCCCGGCUGUGUCGUAGCUAACGCGAUAAGUAUACCGCCUGAGGAGUACGCUCGCAAGGGUGAAACUCAAAAGAAUUGACGGGGGCCCGCACAAGCAGUGGAGCAUGUGGUUUAAUUCGAUGCAACGCGAAGAACCUUACCCAGAUUUGAAAUACGGAGGACAGUCUCGGAAACGAGAUCUCCCGCAAAGGGGUCUUCGAACAGGUGCUGCAUGGCUGUCGU